RNAcentral lists this ribosomal RNA (636 nucleotides) under Triticum aestivum (bread wheat). RNAcentral's name for it is "partial small subunit ribosomal RNA". The record is from RNAcentral. Lineage: Eukaryota; Viridiplantae; Streptophyta; Magnoliopsida; Poales; Poaceae.
AUGUGGGAGGAGAUGAAGGUUUUUCAGAGAUUGAGAGAGAAACUGUCAAUACAAGAGGUGAAAGGCUUUGUGAAAGAUCAUUUAGAGUUGAAGGAAUCAAUGAAGUAUUAUUUUCGUAUUCCUCACAAAGAACUUUUCAAUGGGUUGUUGUUUCUUAAUAAUGACAGUGUUUGUGUGAAGGUGUCAGGUUAUAUAUGUGUGGGUGGAGUUAUAGAUGUGUAUGUGGAGUAUCAUGGGGAGGAGGACAGCCAUGACACUAGGAGCGGCAGUGAUUUUGAGGACAAUGAACUUGUGCAUUUAUCUGAUUUAGAACCAGAUCGGAUCAUUAGUGCAGAAUCGGCUGAAGAUGAUCAUGAUGUGCUAGUGCUUGAUGAAACUGAUGUGAUCACGAAAGUUUUGUUCAGCCCAGUGAAGCAACAAACAGUUAUUAGAAGGAUAAAUGUUGCUGCUACUGACAAAGAAGACACCCAUUCAGAUUCAGAUUCAGAUUCUGAUAGUGAAUACAUGCCACAUAGUGAGGACAGUGGAGAAGAUUCCGAGGUUGUGCAACUAAGAAGACAUGCCAGAAAGUUUAAGAAAAGAAUGAGAGUCAAAAAGCUAGAUUGGCAUGGAUUCAACAGGUCCUAUUCCAAUUGA